AUGGCAUGAUGGGGACAUUUUCUAAUGAGAUCCUUUAAUCUUUCCCAUGCUUCAUGGAACUUCUCACUAUCUUGCUAUGAGAGACUACUGAGAGCUCCCCUU
This 102-nucleotide small nucleolar RNA is filed under the name Cephalotus follicularis. RNAcentral describes it as "Plant small nucleolar RNA R71". It matches the Rfam family "Plant small nucleolar RNA R71". From Rfam's summary of the family: R71 is a member of the C/D box family of snoRNAs containing the C (UGAUGA) and D (CUGA) box motifs. Multiple nearly identical copies of this snoRNA have been identified in Arabidopsis, and it is thought to function as a 2'-O-ribose methylation guide for 18S ribosomal RNA. The record is from Rfam by way of RNAcentral. Lineage: Eukaryota; Viridiplantae; Streptophyta; Magnoliopsida; Oxalidales; Cephalotaceae.